This 191-nucleotide unclassified non-coding RNA is filed under the name uncultured Cortinarius. RNAcentral describes it as "sequence contains ITS2". The record is from RNAcentral. Lineage: Eukaryota; Fungi; Basidiomycota; Agaricomycetes; Agaricales; Cortinariaceae.
AAUAUAUCAAACCCUCUUCUCUUGUUGAGUGGUUUGGAUGUGGGGGGUUCUCUUUGCUGGCCUCUCAAGGUUCAGCUCCCCUGAAAUGCAUUAGCAGAACGACCUGUUCAUUCAUUGGCGUGAUAACUAUCUACGCCAUUGAACCUGAGGCAGUUCAGCUUCCUAACGGUCCUUGGACAAUUUACCAUUUU